UAUGUUUUAGUAUAUGAUGUACAAAAGUUUUUGAUACUUUAAGAGAUGGUUUAAUCCCAUUAAAUAUAA
Molecule: transfer RNA, 69 nt
Filed under: Cucujoidea sp. 46 KM-2017
Lineage: Eukaryota; Metazoa; Arthropoda; Insecta; Coleoptera
Description: tRNA-Gln
Source: RNAcentral